AGAGUUUGAUCCUGGCUCAGGACGAACGCUGGCGGCGUGCCUAAUACAUGCAAGUCGAGCGCAGGAAGCAAGCUGAUCCCCUUCGGGGGUGACGCUUGUGGAAUGAGCGGCGGACGGGUGAGUAACACGUGGGCAACCUGCCUGUAAGACUGGGAUAACCCCGGGAAACCGGGGCUAAUACCGGAUAAUACUUUCUUUUGCAUAAAGGAAAGUUGAAAGGCGGCUUCGGCUGUCGCUUACAGAUGGGCCCGCGGCGCAUUAGCUAGUUGGUGAGGUAACGGCUCACCAAGGCGACGAUGCGUAGCCGACCUGAGAGGGUGAUCGGCCACACUGGGACUGAGACACGGCCCAGACUCCUACGGGAGGCAGCAGUAGGGAAUCUUCCGCAAUGGACGAAAGUCUGACGGAGCAACGCCGCGUGAGUGAUGAAGGUUUUCGGAUCGUAAAACUCUGUUGUUAGGGAAAAACAAGUUGGGUAGUAACUGACCCAACCUUGACGG
This 500-nucleotide ribosomal RNA is filed under the name Virgibacillus sp. L15. RNAcentral describes it as "bacterial SSU rRNA". It matches the Rfam family "Bacterial small subunit ribosomal RNA", at positions 8 to 475 of the family's 1533-position model. The record is from RNAcentral. Lineage: Bacteria; Bacillati; Bacillota; Bacilli; Caryophanales; Bacillaceae.